This 301-nucleotide ribosomal RNA is filed under the name uncultured bacterium. RNAcentral describes it as "partial 16S ribosomal RNA". It matches the Rfam family "Bacterial small subunit ribosomal RNA", at positions 509 to 807 of the family's 1533-position model. The record is from RNAcentral.
CAGUAGCCGCGGGAAUACAGAGGUCCCGAGCGUUGUUCGGAUUCACUGGGCGUAAAGGGUGUGUAGGAGGUUUGGUAAGUCAGGUGUGAAAUCCCGCAGCUCAACUGCGGAACUGCAUUCGAUACUGCCGAACUAGAGGCUUGGAGGGGGAAGCGGAAUUCUUGGUGUAGCGGUGAAAUGCGUAGAUAUCAAGAGGAACACCGGUGGCGAAGGCGGCUUCCUGGACAAGUCCUGACUCUGAAACACGAAAGCCAGGGGAGCGAAUGGGAUUAGAUACCCCCGUAGUCCCUGUCUCUUAUAC